GAUGAAGAACGUAGCGAAAUGCGAUAAGUAAUGUGAAUUGCAGAAUUCAGUGAAUCAUCGAAUCUUUGAACGCACAUUGCGCCCGCCAGUAUUCUGGCGGGCAUGCCUGUUCGAGCGUCAUUACAACCCUCAGGCCCCCGGGCCUGGCGUUGGGGAUCGGCGGAGCCCCCCGUGGGCACACGCCGUCCCCCAAAUACAGUGGCGGUCCCGCCGCAGCUUCCAUCGCGUAGUAGCUAACACCUCGCGACUGGAGAGCGGCGCGGCCACGCCGUAAAACACCCAACUCUUCUGAAGUUGACCUCGAAUCAGGUAGGAAUACCCGCUGAACUUAAGCAUAUCAAUAAGCGAGA
This 350-nucleotide unclassified non-coding RNA is filed under the name soil metagenome. RNAcentral describes it as "partial contains 5.8S ribosomal RNA, internal transcribed spacer 2, and large subunit ribosomal RNA". The stretch from base 1 to 120 matches the Rfam family "5.8S ribosomal RNA", at positions 35 to 154 of the family's 154-position model. The record is from RNAcentral.